CCUACGGGUGGCAGCAGUGAGGAAUAUUGGUCAAUGGGCGCGAGCCUGAACCAGCCAAGUAGCGUGAAGGAUGACUGCCCUACGGGUUGUAAACUUCUUUUAUAAAGGAAUAAAGUGAGGCACGUGUGCCUUUUUGUAUGUACUUUAUGAAUAAGGAUCGGCUAACUCCGUGCCAGAAGCCGCGGUAAUACGGAGGUUCCGAGCGUUAUCCGGAUUUAUAGGGUUUACAGGGAGCGUAGAUGGGUGUUUAAGUCAGGUGUGAAAGUUUGCGGCUCAACCGUAAAAUUGCAAUUGAUACUGGCAGCCUUGAGUACAGUUGAGGUAGGCGGAAUUCGUGGUGUAGCGGUGAAAUGCUUAGAUAUCACGAAGAACUCCGAUUGCGAAGGCAGCUUACUAAACUGCCACUGACAUUGAUGCUCGAAAGUGUGGGUAUCAAACAGGAUUAGAUACCCCGGUAGUC
Molecule: ribosomal RNA, 460 nt
Filed under: uncultured bacterium
Lineage: Bacteria
Description: partial 16S ribosomal RNA
Rfam family: Bacterial small subunit ribosomal RNA
Source: RNAcentral